This 1000-nucleotide long non-coding RNA is filed under the name Vigna radiata. RNAcentral describes it as "long non-coding RNA (VRAD_LNC006052)". Lineage: Eukaryota; Viridiplantae; Streptophyta; Magnoliopsida; Fabales; Fabaceae. The record is from RNAcentral.
CAUGGGACAAGAAGUCAACACAUUUUGGUGGCUUAUUGAAGGUGGAAAUUAAAGUUUGACUUGUUGAAACAUGACUCAUGGCCAAGAGGUUUCCUUAGGCCAUUUGGACUUUUAAUUUAUUUGUUAAUUGCAUAUUGGGUCACUUAAUUUACUAAAAGUAAAAUAGGCUUGUUAAUUUCUCUUGUUUUCACUUAGUUUAAUUAGUAGGUUGAGUUGUCUUCAUGUGUUUGAGUUAGUGUUGAGUUUAAUUAAUUUUUACUGUGUUUGUUAAUUUGUUUGCAAGAGUAUUUGAUGUUUGAAUGUUGUCUAAGGUUUUUAAUAGGGUUAUUUUAAUUACCAUGCUAGCUUUAAUUAGUUUGUUUGCAUCUAUGUCUUUAUAUUGAGUUAGUUAAAUUUUGCAACACACUUUCAAACCACCCCCCUCCCACUUCGUGUUUGACUUGAGACUCGAACCACAGUUUGGUCCUUGAGAGACGACCUAGGAGUCACUUCCUAGCACUAUACUGCAUUCUUAAUAUGUAAUUAAAUUUGUAUGGGCCGCGACACCCAUCAAUAAGCUUAGUAAAUGUGCAUUCACAUAUCAAAAUCAACACAAAACAUGUUAAAUAAGAAAUCAUUCAAUAAAGAACAGGACAUGUAACACAUUACAAUACAUGUGUUAUUAAUAAUGUGUUGACAUCAUCAAAAACCAUAUUGAUUAAAGCAUUGUGAGAUUAAGGUUAGCUAAAUCAGUGCUUCCCUUAUCAACAAUCUCAACAUUCCUCUCCCUUCUCUCUAAAUAUUCCUCACUUGUGUUUCAUUUAAUUGAAGAUCAAGAGCUCCCUAGGGUAUCCUGACUUCAAGAGCUUUCAUUCCCAUCGAUCAAAGUCUUGUUUAAAGCUGGUAAGUCUCGAUUUCUUGAGUUCAUGUCAGAUUUCGAAACUUGUUGACACAUGCAAGCCAAGUUUCUGGUUGCAUGUGUUCAUCAGCUUUCUCUUCCAAUUUCUGAUCACAUUUCUGG